This 247-nucleotide long non-coding RNA is filed under the name Salvia miltiorrhiza (redroot sage). RNAcentral's name for it is "long non-coding RNA (SMIL_LNC002064)". The record is from RNAcentral. Lineage: Eukaryota; Viridiplantae; Streptophyta; Magnoliopsida; Lamiales; Lamiaceae.
AAGCCACACCCAUCAAGACUCCCAAGUCUUGUACGUAAUAUUUGUGUAUGUAUAUAUGAUGAUUAUUAGCGACUUAAUCAUCAUAAUACAAUCACAAUUUGCAGCCAUGGAGAAAAGUCUUUAUUGCAAUUUGCCAUAUGCAUUCCUAAUCACCAUAACCUUCCAAAUGCUUUCUUCUGAAUCCAAACAGCCUCUGAGCCUUGCAACUGAUCAAACUGCCCUUCUUUCACUCAAACAACACAUCACC